This 786-nucleotide non-coding RNA is filed under the name Tenerus flavicollis. The record is from RNAcentral. Lineage: Eukaryota; Metazoa; Arthropoda; Insecta; Coleoptera; Cleridae.
AAAGGUUUAAAAAGUUUAAUUUUAGCUUAAAAUUUUUUUUUAUUUAUUAUUUACAUGUAGUUUUUAGAAGGAAGAAGAUAUUAUUUAAAUAAUAAUAAUUAAAAUAGUUAUUCGCAGUAUAAAAAAUUAAAUAUUAAAGAAAUUUAGAUUUAGAAAUUUAUGUUAAUAUUAACUAAAUUUGUGCCAGCAGUUGCGGUUACACAAAUAAUAUAAGAAAAAUAUAAAUAGAAAUAGUAAAAUUAAUUAUAAUAAAAAUUUAAAAUAUAAUUUUUAAGGUGAAAUUUAUAAUUAUAAAUAAAUUUUUAUAUUUAUUUGAAUCUAGUAAAUUUAAUUUAAAGACUAGGAUUAGAUACCCUAUUAUUUUAAAUAAAAUUAGUUUUCUUAAUUAGUAUUAGUUAUGUUCUUGAAAGUUAAAAAAUUUGGCGGUAUUUUAGUCUUUUCAGAGGAAUCUGUCCUGUAAUUGAUAGUCCACGAUUUAAUGUACUUAUUUUAAAAAUUUAUAUAUCGUCGUAAUUUGAAUAUUUUAAAAGAAUUUUAAUAUUCAAAAUAUAUAAUUUUAUAUUAAAUCAGAUCAAGGUGUAGUUAAUAAAUAAGAAGAGAUGGAUUACAUUUUAAUUAUAAUUGGAUAUAUAAAUGUAUUUUAUAUUGAAAUUGGAUUUGAAAGUAAUUUUUAAAAUAUAUUAAAAAUGAUUUUAGCUCUAAAAUAUGUACAUAUUGCCCGUCGCUUUUGUUUUAAGAUGAAAUAAGUCGUAACAAAGUAGAUUUACUGGAAAGUGAAUCUAGAAU